RNA transcript from Populus trichocarpa (black cottonwood), 1525 nucleotides. It is a transcript of the gene named vesicle-associated protein 2-2-like, with no coding region annotated. The record is from RefSeq and is a predicted model, not a curated record. The transcript is spliced from 8 exons. Lineage: Eukaryota; Viridiplantae; Streptophyta; Magnoliopsida; Malpighiales; Salicaceae.
ACAAUCUUUUUUUUUUAUUUUUAAUGUUAGAGAGGGUGAGGUUGUGCAGACGCUACUCUCUCUCUUCUAAGGCUUAAUUCUUAUAUCCUUUUUUGGAUCUGCAUUUUCUCUUAAAAUCACUGUUUUAGUUUAGAGUCAGGAUGAUGAUGAGUACAGAGCUUUUGGAAAUUCUGCCUCGUGAACUCAAGAUUACUUGUGUCGAAUUUUAACUUUGCGCAGUUAUGCUGGCAAAGUUGUUUGGUAAGUAUAAAAAUCUGUUGUAAUUUGCAAUGUGAUGGACUCUCUUUUUAUCUCUGUAGUUGAGGUGAAGAGAGAAAGCUCGUGCUCAAUUCAGCUGGGCAAUAAGUCUGAUCAGUAUGUUGCUUUCAAGGUGAAGACUACACAUCCCCGAAAAAGUAUUGUGUGCGGCCUAACACGGGUGUUGUUAAACCAAAGUCAACUUGUGAUUUCACAGUUACUAUGCAAGCUCAGAAGUUCUUGGUUCAAAGUACAGUUGUUCCCCCUGGGACAACUGAAGAGGACAUUACAUCUAACAUGUUUGGCAGUUUUCUAAGGAGGGUGGGAAAUACAGUGAAGAGAAGAAGCUAAAGGUGGUUCUCAUUAGCCCACCCCAUUCAUCAUUUUUACUUCCAAGCAGCGGAGAGCUGAAGAAAGAUCCUUGUUAUGACACUUCAUUGCUCAGAGAUCUAGGAAAGGAUGAAAUUGAAAACAUUCCUCAACCUCAUGAGGUAAGAGGUAUUUUAUAUUGUUGUUAAAUGUAGUCUCGACGAAGCCUUGCUUCUUGUCCUACCUCUGUCUCUCUCCCCGCUACGUUUAGAGUUUACCCGAUGCAUCAUCAACUUUUAUAGGAACAUUCUUGUGUGUGUUUUCUAUACACCUUUAUACAUGUUUCAGCAUUUUGUUAUACUUGCCAAGUGACUAUUUUCAUAACUAGAUCCGUAGGAUUUUUUAGCUCUGUUUCUAUAGGUGAAAGGGGCAGGUGUUCGAUCUCCUCCGCUGAUCUUAUGCAGUCUUGUUUGACAAAUGUAAAUGAAAAGUGUAUAAGUUAGCUGAAGAUGUUCCAGUCUUCAAAACUGCCAUGGAUGCUAAUGAGUUAGGAGGAGCCAAGGAUGCUGAUGGUUCAAUACCUGCUGAUAUGGGGGAAUUGAAAUCUUCUAAGGAUACAGCUGAACCAAAGUUGACGAAGGAUUUUGAGGAGUUGAAGUCAAAGCUACAUGCAAUGGACUUAAAGCUAAGAGAGGCUGAUCAUACCAUUUGAAGCUCACUGAUGAGAGGAGGAUGGCCACUAAAGAGAAGGAUAAGCUCAAGCAUGAAGCAUUAAGUAAUUUAUUUCACAGGAUCUUUUUUUAAAAAAAAAAUAUUAAGGCUAAUAACUCUGAUUAAAACCUUGAAAGUUAGUUUUCUGCCAUUACUGCCUGUUGGUCUGCAAAGAGGAUAGGUAAUAGGAUUAGACAACUGGCAAGAGAUGGAUGUAAAAGAAAUUAUUUGUUUUUCAUAGUUGUAAAUAUAUUAAAAUAGUGAACAA